GGCGUAAAGCGCGGGUAGGCGGGGCGGCGUGUCGGAUGUGAAAGCCCUCAGGUCAACCGAGGAAUUGCAUCCGAAACUGUCGUUCUUGACUACGGGAGAGGGAACCGGAAUUUCCAGGCUAAGGCGUAAUUCGUAGAUAUUGGAAGGUACACCGGUGGCGAAGCAGGCUUCCUGGACCGAUACUGACGCUGAGACGCGAAAGCGUGGGUAGCAAACAGGAUUAGAUACCCUGGUAGUCCACGCAGUAAACGAUGAGCACUAGGUGUUACGGGUAUCGACCCCUGCAGUGCCGAAGCCAACGCAUUAAGUGCUCCGCCUGGGGACUUCGGUCGCAAGACUAAAACUCAAAGGAAUUGACGAGGGCCCGCACAAGCGCUGGAGCAUGUGGUUCAAUUCGACGCAACGCGCAGAACCUUACCCGGGCCUGACAUCCUGGGAAUCCCCGAGGAAACCGGGGAGUGCCUGCUUUGCAGGAGCUCAGUGACAGGUGCUGCAUGACUGUCGUCAGCUCGUUGUCGUGAGAUGUUGGGUUAAGUCCCGCAACGAGCGCAACCCUCGUCCUUAGUGGCCAGCAUUCAGUUGGG
This 584-nucleotide ribosomal RNA is filed under the name uncultured organism. Its description in RNAcentral is "bacterial SSU rRNA". It matches the Rfam family "Bacterial small subunit ribosomal RNA", at positions 557 to 1135 of the family's 1533-position model. The record is from RNAcentral.